This 402-nucleotide ribosomal RNA is filed under the name uncultured prokaryote. RNAcentral describes it as "bacterial SSU rRNA". It matches the Rfam family "Bacterial small subunit ribosomal RNA", at positions 355 to 774 of the family's 1533-position model. The record is from RNAcentral.
UGGGGAAUAUUGGACAAUGGGCGCAAGCCUGAUCCAGCCAUGCCGCGUGAGUGAUGAAGGCCCUAGGGUUGUAAAGCUCUUUCACCGGUGAAGAUAAUGACGGUAACCGGAGAAGAAGCCCCGGCUAACUUCGUGCCAGCAGCCGCGGUAAUACGAAGGGGGCUAGCGUUGUUCGGAAUUACUGGGCGUAAAGCGCACGUAGGCGGGUAUUUAAGUCAGGGGUGAAAUCCCGGAGCUCAACUCCGGAACUGCCUUUGAUACUGGGUACCUAGAGUAUGGAAGAGGUAAGUGGAAUUCCUAGUGUAGAGGUGAAAUUCGUAGAUAUUCGGAGGAACACCAGUGGCGAAGGCGGCUUACUGGUCCAUUACUGACGCUGAGGUGCGAAAGCGUGGGGAGCAAACA